CCCCAAAAUGACCAAUUCGCCGUAUUUUACCGGGUCUUUAACGGGCACAUCAUCAUCUCCGUCUUUUUUCGGUGAAUUCAUCAGACUGGACUGCUCCAGAAGAAACAAAAAAACCCGACGUCCAACGGCCACUAGUAGAUUCUGUACAUCCUGUAUCUACACUGGCCAGUCGAACCAACACUUAAACAGUACAAACAUGAUGAGAAAUCGUUCGAGGGUGAAACUCACUGAGUGCUUCACUUGGCCUCUGACUCUUUAAGUAAAGUGAGCAUACCAUCACUAAACUCCCCCGGCUCUAUGGAAACAACCGUGGGUAGAGAGAGAUAGCGACUGCCUGAGGUGUGAGAAAAGCAACGAUGAGACGUGUGUCUCUUCAACUGUGACUUUAGUGUAUGUGUGGUUGUAUAGUCAACAGAAUGACAAUCAGUGCUUGUAUGCUGCUUUUAGCAAGUAGACUAAGAAAUGCAGUUGCAUGACACACAUCAUGAACAGCUGGUUCAGCCUCGGGCAAACAGGUGAAUAUUUCCUAGAAAACAUGUAAGAGUUUUUUUUUUAUAUUUGAUUAAAUAUGAGUUCAAGAGCAA
Sebastes umbrosus (honeycomb rockfish) is the source of this 584-nucleotide long non-coding RNA. RefSeq lists it as uncharacterized. The transcript is spliced from 2 exons. NCBI's taxonomy places the organism in Eukaryota, Metazoa, Chordata, Actinopteri, Perciformes, Sebastidae. The record is from RefSeq and is a predicted model, not a curated record.